Molecule: ribosomal RNA, 1435 nt
Filed under: uncultured organism
Description: SSU rRNA
Rfam family: Bacterial small subunit ribosomal RNA
Source: RNAcentral
ACGCUAGCUACAGGCUUAACACAUGCAAGUCGAGGGGCAGCAUGGUCUUAGCUUGCUAAGACUGAUGGCGACCGGCGCACGGGUGAGUAACACGUAUCCAACCUGCCGUCUACUCUUGGACAGCCUUCUGAAAGGAAGAUUAAUACAAGAUGGCAUCAUGAGUCCGCAUGUUCACAUGAUUAAAGGUAUUCCGGUAGACGAUGGGGAUGCGUUCCAUUAGAUAGUAGGCGGGGUAACGGCCCACCUAGUCUUCGAUGGAUAGGGGUUCUGAGAGGAAGGUCCCCCACAUUGGAACUGAGACACGGUCUAAACUCCUACGGGAGGCAGCAGUGAGGAAUAUUGGUCAAUGGGCGAGAGCCUGAACCAGCCAAGUAGCGUGAAGGAUGACUGCCCUAUGGGUUGUAAACUUCUUUUAUAAAGGAAUAAAGUCGGGUAUGCAUACCCGUUUGCAUGUACUUUAUGAAUAAGGAUCGGCUAACUCCGUGCCAGCAGCCGCGGUAAUACGGAGGAUCCGAGCGUUAUCCGGAUUUAUUGGGUUUAAAGGGAGCGUAGAUGGAUGUUUAAGUCAGUUGUGAAAGUUUGCGGCUCAACCGUAAAAUUGCAGUUGAUACUGGAUAUCUUGAGUGCAGUUGAGGCAGGCGGAAUUCGUGGUGUAGCGGUGAAAUGCUUAGAUAUCACGAAGAACUCCGAUUGCGAAGGCAGCCUGCUAAGCUGCAACUGACAUUGAGGCUCGAAAGUGUGGGUAUCAAACAGGAUUAGAUACCCUGGUAGUCCACACGGUAAACGAUGAAUACUCGCUGUUUGCGAUAUACUGCAAGCGGCCAAGCGAAAGCGUUAAGUAUUCCACCUGGGGAGUACGCCGGCAACGGUGAAACUCAAAGGAAUUGACGGGAGCCCGCACAAGCGGAGGAACAUGUGGUUUAAUUCGAUGAUACGCGAGGAACCUUACCCGGGCUUAAAUUGCAGAUGAAUUACGGUGAAAGCCGUAAGCCGCAAGGCAUCUGUGAAGGUGCUGCAUGGUUGUCGUCAGCUCGUGCCGUGAGGUGUCGGCUUAAGUGCCAUAACGAGCGCAACCCUUGUUGUCAGUUACUAACAGGUUCCGCUGAGGACUCUGACAAGACUGCCAUCGUAAGAUGUGAGGAAGGUGGGGAUGACGUCAAAUCAGCACGGCCCUUACGUCCGGGGCUACACACGUGUUACAAUGGGGGGUACAGAGGGCCGCUACCACGCGAGUGGAUGCCAAUCCCCAAAACCUCUCUCAGUUCGGACUGGAGUCUGCAACCCGACUCCACGAAGCUGGAUUCGCUAGUAAUCGCGCAUCAGCCACGGCGCGGUGAAUACGUUCCCGGGCCUUGUACACACCGCCCGUCAAGCCAUGGGAGCCGGGGGUACCUGAAGUGCGUAACCGCGAGGAGCGCCCUAGGGUAAAACUGGA